This 272-nucleotide ribosomal RNA is filed under the name uncultured prokaryote. Its description in RNAcentral is "partial 16S ribosomal RNA". It matches the Rfam family "Bacterial small subunit ribosomal RNA", at positions 505 to 776 of the family's 1533-position model. The record is from RNAcentral.
GUGUCAGCAGCCGCGGUAAUACGUAGGGUGCAAGCGUUAAUCGGAAUUACUGGGCGUAAAGCGUGCGCAGGCGGUUUGCUAAGACCGAUGUGAAAUCCCCGGGCUCAACCUGGGAACUGCAUUGGUGGCUGGCAGGCUAGAGUAUGGCAGAGGGGGGUAGAAUUCCACGUGUAGCAGUGAAAUGCGUAGAGAUGUGGAGGAAUACCGAUGGCGAAGGCAGCCCCCUGGGCCAAUACUGACGCUCAUGCACGAAAGCGUGGGGAGCAAACAGG